Molecule: long non-coding RNA, 393 nt
Organism: Rana temporaria (common frog)
Lineage: Eukaryota; Metazoa; Chordata; Amphibia; Anura; Ranidae
Exons: 3
Source: RefSeq, a predicted model, not a curated record
UACGCGUGGAAUACAAAGAAGGAAGUGAUGUAAUGUGCAGACAGGAAGUGAUGUAGGGUUACGACAGGAAGUGAUGUAGGGUUACGACAGGAAAUGAUGUAGUGUUAAGACAGGAAGUUCAAGAAUAAAGGUGAUUUAGUAGGAAAUAAGGAAGAGACAAUACUGGAUCUUGAGGCAGAUAAGGAUUAUAAAGUAGUGAAGAAAAUAUCUGGAGAUCCAUUAACACCCAGCAGCCGUCUUCACAGGACAUCACCCAUCACAGUGUCUCCACCUCACUGCCUGACAACAGAGGUAACCAGUGCCAAGAAGGUUCUAGAAGUCACCAACAAGAUCAUUGAUCUGCUGACAGGAGAGGUUCCUAUAAGGUGUCAGGAUGUCACUGUCUAUUUCUCC